GAUAUAUAUGUUCAAUUGACAAUUUAGAAACUUUGGGAAAUAUUUUUAUUUUCCGAUGAUGUCUUAUGUUUUUGACUGAAUGGUUGAAAGUCAAAGCUAUCAAGGAAAUCCUGACCAUUAUGAACACGUAAGUUCCCUUUCUUUAUCUCUUACAAGUUACAAAUGUUGUUAUGAUCUGUUAUAAACACUACCGAAGAUAAAGUUGAUUUUUUUUCUUUCAGUUCGCGUUUUGAAGGCAUUGACAUAUAUGCUGUUCGUUUAAUAAACGCCGGCGUCAGCGGCAGCGGCAUAAAUUAAACCUACGCAUGCAACAAAUUCAUUGCUGUUCGAACUAAAAUCAGCCGCAACAGACAACGCGAGACAUGAAAACGGAGCUGCCGUUGACGCAGAUAUUUUCAGCGUCAAUCCAAUAUGUCGCGUCUUUACCCAGCCACACCAAAAACCUCCGCCAUCCCCAUUUUACUCUGUUAUCCGAUAUGAUUCCGGUUGUGUUUUUUGUUCGCAAACGCUGACGCAGCGAUUGACAAAAGAACAGAGAUAUAGUAUUUUUGAGUUGUUGCGUUACGUGAAACUUUUGGUGUCUAAUUGGUUCACUCUUUUAUUGUUGACUAUUGACAUGCAAUUGUUGAUGAAGACUGCUGCUUUGGGACAAAUCUGUUAGAGAACGCCUUCGACGACUUUGGUAUCCCAUUACUCAGGAACACGAAAUGGAGAGAAGAGGUAGGUUGGCUCGGCUUAUGGCUAGGCUUGAUAUUGGCGGCCAGUUGGAUAAACUGAUUUUUUUUUAUCUUCAUGUGACUCAAAUAGUUUCCUACUAACUUGUGCGCGCA
This 830-nucleotide long non-coding RNA is filed under the name Brassica napus (rape). Its description in RNAcentral is "long non-coding RNA (BNAP_LNC016197)". Lineage: Eukaryota; Viridiplantae; Streptophyta; Magnoliopsida; Brassicales; Brassicaceae. The record is from RNAcentral.